CCCUUAGAUGUCCUGGGCUGCACGCGCGCUACACUGGAAGUUACGGAUUGAGAUACUACCUUGUCCGAAAUGGUCCGGGUAAUCACCUAAAAGCUUGUCAUAAUUGGAAUGGAUUAUUGUAACUAGUAAUCCUGAACGAGGAAUUCCUAGUAAGUCCCAGUCAACAGCUGGUACUGAUUACGUCCCUGCCCUUUGUACACACCGCCCGUCGCUACUACUGAUUGGACGUUUAAGCAAGAUUUUUGAACACUGACAGUGUGUAGUUCACGCUAUACUACAGUGAGAAGAAGAAGAUCGAGCUUACUUGUCUAGAGGAAGUAAAAGUCGUAACA
This 332-nucleotide ribosomal RNA is filed under the name uncultured eukaryote. RNAcentral's name for it is "partial 18S ribosomal RNA". It matches the Rfam family "Eukaryotic small subunit ribosomal RNA", at positions 1470 to 1796 of the family's 1831-position model. The record is from RNAcentral.